Molecule: ribosomal RNA, 462 nt
Filed under: uncultured bacterium
Lineage: Bacteria
Description: bacterial SSU rRNA
Rfam family: Bacterial small subunit ribosomal RNA
Source: RNAcentral
ACGAUACGACGGAGCAGAAGUUUCGGAUGGAAGCGAAGAUGUAUGUUCUAGCGGCGGACGGGUGAGUAACGCGUGAGCAACCUGUCCUUCACAGGGGGAUAACACAGCGAAAGUUGUACUAAUACCGCAUAAGACCACAUUGGGACAUCCCAGAGGGGUCAAAGGAGCAAUCCGGUGAAGGGUGGGGCUCGCGUCCGAUUAGAUAGUUGGUGAGGUAACGGCCCACCAAGUCGACGAUCGGUAGCCGACCUGAGAGGGUGAUCGGCCACAUUGGGACUGAGACACGGCCCAAACUCCUACGGGAGGCAGCAGUGGGGAAUAUUGGGCAAUUGGGGGGAAACCCUGACCCAGCAACGCCGCGUGAGGGAAGAAGGUUUUCGGAUCGUAAACCUCUGUCCUUGGUGAAGAGGAAGAGACGGUAGCCAAGGAGGAAGCCCCGGCUAACUACGUGCCAGCAGCGGC